RNAcentral lists this transfer RNA (704 nucleotides) under uncultured bacterium. RNAcentral's name for it is "partial 16S-23S ribosomal RNA intergenic spacer". The stretch from base 53 to 126 matches the Rfam family "tRNA". The record is from RNAcentral.
CAAACGUCAUUCUCACGAGUACCCUCACAAGUUACUUGGUUCAACUGACCUCGGGUCUGUAGCCCAGUUGGUUAGAGCGCACCCCUGAUAAGGGUGAGGUCGGUGGUUCAAAUCCACCCAGACCCACCAAAUUUCCGCAUCUUGAACAAAUAAUUUCGCUCAUGUGUCAACGCACACUACGCAAAAUUCUUUGUCCAACCUGCGAAAAUUUACUUGUCUAAAUAUCAGUGGUGUAGCGCAGAUAAAUCUUCCUUGUGGAAGUUGUUAACCACCACAUGGAGUUUGAUAAUUUAAAUCCGCGAAAGUUGAUCAAUUUACUGAUCACGAGCUUUAACGCAGGAUUUUUUUCGUGUAACAAGGCGCGCGCCGGAGCGAGAGAGGGAGCGUACUAAUGUACGUGACCGAACGAACGACAAGCGCAACGCAGGGACACGGAAAAAAGACAAGUUAAAGGGGGCUAUAGCUCAGCUGGGAGAGCGCCUGCUUUGCACGCAGGAGGUCGGCGGUUCGAUCCCGCCUAGCUCCACCAAGACUUUUGCAAUGAGUUAGUAGAAAUAAGCACAGUUUAUUUCUGGUAACUCCAGAUACAUUUGAGCGCUGCUCAAACGAGGUUCUUUUACAAUCAGAAGCAAAGUUAUAGCAAGAUUAAAAAAUCUUGUUUUUUUAAUGCAUGUUAUUCAAAUCUCGCAUGCAUUAAAUGGGUA